UCUUUCUUUCCCACAUUUUUACAAUAGUUUGUACAGCUCCAACAAGAAUUAGGAGUGAAAAAAAAAAUUCAAAUCUUGGGCUAGUUCAACCAUCUUGGACUUUAAAUUAUCUAAUAUGCAUAAUAAAGAUAGCUAAACAACACCGCAACAAAUUAACUGAAUCGUAGAAGAAUAGUUCAUAACUUCACAAACACUUCGAAAUCCCUUCCAACCCCAAAUGUUUGAUGCCAACACGUCACGUUCAUUCCAGUCCCAAACGCUGCCAUGCAGACAAUGGUUUUUGUGUAGCACUUUGAAAUUCCUUUAGAGAGUCCUAACAAUGUCAGCAUUGAUAUU
This 336-nucleotide long non-coding RNA is filed under the name Coffea arabica (coffee). RNAcentral describes it as "long non-coding RNA (CARA_LNC005436)". The record is from RNAcentral. Lineage: Eukaryota; Viridiplantae; Streptophyta; Magnoliopsida; Gentianales; Rubiaceae.